UAAUAAGUGUUUUAUGGCACUUUUUAAAUCCAUAUCCACCUUGUGUGCAAUGUCAGUCGAUCUUCUUCAUGGAGAUCGACCAAACAUCAACCUUUAUCUUUUAAUCUCUUUGUCUGAAAAAUAUUAUGAAUAAACAAUUCAAAAUA
Molecule: unclassified non-coding RNA, 146 nt
Filed under: soil metagenome
Description: partial internal transcribed spacer 1
Source: RNAcentral